GACGAACGCUGGCGGCGUGCUUAACACAUGCAAGUCGAACGGAAAGGCCCUGCUUUUGUGGGGUGCUCGAGUGGCGAACGGGUGAGUAACACGUGAGUAACCUGCCCUUGACUUUGGGAUAACUUCAGGAAACUGGGGCUAAUACCGGAUAGGAGCUCCUGCUGCAUGGUGGGGGUUGGAAAGUUUCGGCGGUUGGGGAUGGACUCGCGGCUUAUCAGCUUGUUGGUGGGGUAGUGGCUUACCAAGGCUUUGACGGGUAGCCGGCCUGAGAGGGUGACCGGCCACAUUGGGACAGGGGUACGGCCCAGACGCCUACGGGAGGCAGCAGUGGGGAAUAUUGCACGAUGGGCGGAGGCCGGAUGCAGCGACGCCGCGUGCGGGAUGACGGCCUUCGGGUAGUAAACCGCUUUCGCCUGUGACGAAGCGUGAGGGAGGGUAAUGAGUAAAGAAGCACCGGCUAACUACGU
RNAcentral lists this ribosomal RNA (467 nucleotides) under uncultured bacterium. RNAcentral's name for it is "partial 16S ribosomal RNA". It matches the Rfam family "Bacterial small subunit ribosomal RNA", at positions 28 to 506 of the family's 1533-position model. The record is from RNAcentral.